Molecule: small RNA, 1132 nt
Filed under: Rattus norvegicus (Norway rat)
Lineage: Eukaryota; Metazoa; Chordata; Mammalia; Rodentia; Muridae
Description: uncharacterized LOC108352438
Source: RNAcentral
AAUGUGAAAGAUGAGGGGAUGGGGCAAUUGUUCAGCUGAUAAAGUGUCUGUCACUCAACAGGAGUUCAAUACUCAGAACCUUGUAAUCUCAUUGCUGGGGAGACAGAGACAGAUGGAUGGAGCCUGCAAUGCACUGGCUAGCCAGUUAAGCCAACUUGGUUAUCUUCUUAAUGUCCACCCAGUGCGGUCUCAAGAUUCUAGCUGGUGAUGGAGAAGACCACCAUGAUGUCACAGACGCUCAAGACAGAGUUGAGAAACGAAUGGUGUGAUGAUAAGUGAUUCAUCCAAAAGGAAGUGAGGACUCCAAUGACACAGUGAUGGAAUCUUUUUUCAUUCUUUGGGUGCUUUAUAACAUGACCGGAAACCACGAGGUAAAUGUCUUAAGUGAUAAAACGCCCUGACAAAAGCAACUUAAGGGAGAAAGGGCUUGCCUUAGCUCACAGUCACAGUUUACAGUCCACCUCGGCGGAGAGGUCAAAGUAUCGGGAGAUUGAAGCAGCUGGUCACAUUACCUACCUAGUCAGAAGAGAGCAAUGAAUAACGUGUGUGUGCAGGAGUACAGUUCAGCUUGCUUCUCCUGCCCAUAAAUAAGAGGUGUCCUCUCAUAUAAUUUACGAUAAUCAAGAUAAUCCUCCAUAAGCAUACCCAGAGACCUUUCUUCCAGCCAAUUCUGGGUUGGGUCAACUUGGAAAUAAAACUAACCACACACACCACAGUAAGCAACUGUCUUAGAAGGAGGUCCCUUUCAUACCCAAGACGCCCUAAUGACAACUCAUGCAAAUGACGGCGUUAUCCAUCUACUCAUUCAGAGAGAGUUUUCAUGACUCCCAGCUGACCUCAUCCCUCAAGAUCCCACACUAGGGAAUUAAGCUUUCAACAUUUAGAAAUUACAGGGAAUGCAUUAAACCAUAUUUUCAAAAAAAAAAAAACUCAUUUCCUCCUAAAUCAUAGGGAUUAUAACUCACAGGCCAGAGUCAUGUCACCUUGCUUAAGUCGAAGAUGGCUAGACGGAAGAGAAUCAUGGAUGCAGGCUGAGUUGGCCGACUAAAUGGGACCGCUGUAAGAAUCAGAAUGUAUCUGUGGGGUUCAGAUAUACAUGACCAGGAUCAGCACAACAAGGUGCAGAUGAAAA